This 100-nucleotide microRNA precursor is filed under the name Mayetiola destructor (Hessian fly). Its description in RNAcentral is "microRNA mir-137". The stretch from base 15 to 87 matches the Rfam family "mir-137 microRNA precursor family". Lineage: Eukaryota; Metazoa; Arthropoda; Insecta; Diptera; Cecidomyiidae. The record is from RNAcentral.
GCGUGUAAAACUUAGUUGGCCACGCGUAUUCUUGGGUUAUUAACACACAAUUAAUGUUGUUAUUGCUUGAGAAUACACGUAGUUGACGGUUAAUUGAAAA